AUGAGCUUGAGCAUUCCCAGUUACUCACCAGAACCAAGAAAACCUCACAGAAAUCAGUUCCUGUGGGUUACUUUACUGCAUCAUUUUAGAGAACAGACUCCAAGAAUGAGCUUAAAAGCAACAUUAGUAACAACAGUAAAAAACCCUUCUUAUCAUGCUCUGUGUUUUUCUAGUUGCUUAAGAAUGGCUCUGCUUCAUGAUCAGGUAACUUCAGCUCCCAUAUUCUGUGCAAGGUAAAUUGGUACAAGAAACCCCUGAAAUGCUGAGUAUAAUUCUUAACUCUUCCAUUCCUAUAGACUACCAGCUUCUAUUUCAGUCCUGUGACUGUUUCCUAUGCAGAAAGAAUGGCCUAACACUUGAUACUUGGUUUACACUUAAUAUUCUGAUACCAGUUCAUGGUGCUUCUGAGCAGUACUGUUUUCCUUUUUCUGAUCAGAAACUGGAUCCUACUUUUGAGCAGCAGCAACACAGCUAACAUGAGAUCUCAGGCUGGGAGGAGAGAAGAACCAUGCUCAGAUUGUCUCACCUCAGGUAAGCCUGACAGGUGCCUGAUUCACUGUUCCUUGCCCCAUUUUCUGCUCAUUGCAAGUAGCAUAGUUCCUCUAAUGUCACACUCAAGGCAAUAUCAUGUUUCACUGCUUUACACCUCUUGGAGCUUUUAUGUCACUCACACAUCAGUGAAGCAGCUGUAACUCCCUCCACAUUUUAACCCUGAGAUCAGCUCUGCUGGUCUGAGCAUGGUGCUAAUAAUGCCAAGCUUGUGGGCUUGAUCCCUGCAUGGGAUAAUUUAGGAGCUGGACUCAGUGAUCCUUGUGGGUCCCUUUCAGCUCAAAAUAUUCUGUAAGGAACUGCCUUUAUCUGUGACAUUUAUAAGGUCAAUCCUCAAAAGCAUGUACUUUAAAAUGAAGAGUUAUAUUUAUUAGAUUAUGGAGCAUCAUUAUGAGAUUCAAGUUCCUGAAGGAUCUCAAGUAUAUGUGGGGUCACAAACUCUUGAGGGAUUGGACAUGAUUUUAAUUCAGCCUUCUCCCUCUCUCCCCUCUUCAACAGAAUUCCCAGCUGUAUGAGCACCUUGAGCCCAAAUUCAGUGGACAGUGGGAACGAAAGGAGUUCCACCACAGGAGCCCAUAUUUUCUCUUUUUCUCCAACUCUUGAAAAAAGGGAAAAGGAAGUGAGGAGAUGUGGGUGGAGCAUUCUAUUCAUCUUGGGCAAAGUACAAACCAACAGGAAAAAAAAGGACAAGAAUGUGUGUAUGUACAUAUAUAUAUAUGGACAAUCAGAAACUUCUUAAUAGGAGGGGACUCAUCAUAUACUUUUGAAUAAAAAAGGGAAUUUUUUUCCCAAGGGAAUUACCCAGAAAAAGCUUUGUUACAGCCUGCAAAACCCAAAAAAAUUUAUACAGAAAUCUGGAGCUAUCCUGGAAUGCAGAGCUGCUGGUAAUCUGUACAGUGCUGUAAAUCUAUGUUCUACAACGUGUAACAUUUCAGGUCACUUUCACUGCAUUUUGCAGCAAAAGCACCUUAUUAUUUUUCCACAUUCUGAUAAUUUGUUUAUAUAUUCAUCUCCCUUACAUCACUAUAAAAUAGCAAAAUACAAAAAUUAUUUGAAGAUUUUCAGAGAAGAAACCAAAUCUAUUUUUACACAUUGCUGCAGGAUCCUAAUCCCGUUUGAGGUCUGCUUUAUAAGCAAGACUUAGUUCUCAGCAGGGAGAGUGAACAGCACUUCCCAGAUGCUGCUGCUCCAAAGGAGGAACUGCUUGACAAGCACUCCAGAGCUGCAUCUUCUGGCCAAACUGGGAGUAGCAGCUUAGUGAGGAGUUCACCUAAACCUGUGAGUCCCAGCUUCAACCUGUGCUUUAAAUCCCACUUCUUUCCCUAGCUAUGGAAAUGGGAAAAGUCAAAACCCAAAAGUUUGCAGCUUGAAGUAGCAUCCAAGGAUAUGAGCAAGGACAAGAAACUGGGACGCCAACAGUGAUUCAUACACAUGGAAGUAGAAAAUUCCAGUCCAGUUCUAUCACAUGAUGUCUCUAACACUGCCUCCAAGGUCUGGUCUCCCCCCUCUCCUUUGUAUUAUAACUUAUUAAAACAGUUCACACCAUUAUGAAACACACAACCCUCUUAUGUCAUUUUAAGAAUCACUGAUUGUGCCUUCAUGGCUUGUGUCCCUAUCUACGGAAAAACAAUUUUUCAGGAGUCUUAUUCUUUUAGCCACUGCUAAUGCUGCAUUUGCAUCAUUCCUCUUUCAGGCUGAAGACAGGGCAAAUACACAGUAGACCUUCAAAGAACCACUAAGGCCAAGGCUCCCUGAGAAUUCAAUUCUUCUUCCACUACUUUCUUCAUGGCAGUCUUUCAAGGAAGUCUUAGACACAACUCAAAAACUUUAUUUACACCUUAGUUAUCCAACUCUCUUAAUACAGGUCAAUCAAACAACAGGUAUAAUUUUUUGGCAUGUGCUUCAAGCCAACAUAUCAUCAAGGAGGAUCCUGAAUAUAUUUCAGCUUUUCUUAAAUACUGUAAAUAGCAGACAAUGUUUGCUAAAAUAUAAAAGAAACCACUGUCUUUUAAGAUGCAAAGAUGAGAACUGGGAGUUGACAAAAUAAAGCCUGAGAGGUUUUUAAUGUUCUCCUUAAGACUGGAAAGGGAAAUUUCUCUACAUUAAGAGUAACAGUUUGACAAAUUUGCAGAAAAUUUCAGCUAAACACAUAAUUAAGCAAUCCAAUGCAGAAGAGCAAAACCAGCAGCACUAUGCAAGUGUAAUGAUGGAAAAUAUUGGAACAGCACGUCUCUCUCCAAAGAGCUGGUUCUCUGGUGCAGUAAUUAAAAAAGAAAACACAAAAUUCAGGGGGGAAAAAAAUGGAAACUUCAUAGUAGGCACAAAGGGCCUGACAGACUAUUGUGUUGUAUGGUAUUGCUCUAAUUUUACACAGAUGUAAAGCAAUGAUGAGUCAGGUUUUUCAACUGUACUCAGCCAUUCAGACUUCUGAUCCUUCCAUCAUGGACUUUUUACUAACAACUUAAUCCUAAAUAUCAUAAGUUAAGAUGUUCUCCCCUCUUUUAAGUAAGUAUGCUUUACUACUGAUUGAAGACAUCAAUUCCCUACUGCAGAUACUAGAGUCCCAAUUACCAACUCUACAUGCUUUAAAUGCUGUUUUCACAGCAUCUCUUGCCUGUGUUUUCUACAAAAGAUCCUCUAAAUAUAUAUUACACUUAUUUGCAACUCAUCUGUAACUGAGCCCAAUGGGAUAAGCAAUAAAUGCCUGUUGACACAAUUUUUAAUUACCCAUCAGAACUGGGUGCAGAAUUAUCUAUCAGAAUGGAACUCCAUGAGGGCCCACCAUGAUGUCACCAGAUGAUCUCACUGCUCACAGGAAUUCCAAAAGACAUCUUGUGAGCUGAAGGGCACUUUCUGUUCUCCUAUGCCUACAUUCUCCCAGCCCUUCACACCAGCUGCUCAUUCUCUGCUCUCCUUUGCAGGGGGAACAGUAAAAUUCACUGAACUGGCUCCUUUCUGACAUAAUGGCCAGCACUGAUGACAUGCCAGGCCCUCCUCCACAACACCAACAACUGCUCCUACAGUGCAGGAUUUAUUUCUGGUGAUUUAACAGAGACCAGAGUACAAUAAUUUGCACUAACAAGAAAUUCAUAUGAACAAUUUCCCAUGGUGGGAUACAAACAGAAGACAUUUUAAGGGCAAUAAGACAGCAAUCAACACUUGCUUUUCAGCAUGGAUCAACAGAUUUUCUAUCAAUUUGUAGCUUGCCUUACCUCUUU
Long non-coding RNA from Passer montanus (Eurasian tree sparrow), 3767 nucleotides. RefSeq lists it as uncharacterized. The record is from RefSeq and is a predicted model, not a curated record. Lineage: Eukaryota; Metazoa; Chordata; Aves; Passeriformes; Passeridae. The transcript is spliced from 3 exons.